This 72-nucleotide transfer RNA is filed under the name Ovis aries (sheep). It matches the Rfam family "tRNA". From Rfam's summary of the family: Transfer RNA (tRNA) molecules are approximately 80 nucleotides in length. Their secondary structure includes four short double-helical elements and three loops (D, anti-codon, and T loops). Further hydrogen bonds mediate the characteristic L-shaped molecular structure. tRNAs have two regions of fundamental functional importance: the anti-codon, which is responsible for specific mRNA codon recognition, and the 3' end, to which the tRNAs corresponding amino acid is attached (by aminoacyl-tRNA synthetases). tRNAs cope with the degeneracy of the genetic code in two manners: having more than one tRNA (with a specific anti-codon) for a particular amino acid; and 'wobble' base-pairing, i.e. permitting non-standard base-pairing at the 3rd anti-codon position. Lineage: Eukaryota; Metazoa; Chordata; Mammalia; Artiodactyla; Bovidae. The record is from Rfam by way of RNAcentral.
UCCCUGGUGGCUCACAUGGUAAAGCGUCUGCCUGCAAUGCAGGAGACCUGGGUUUGAUUCCUGGGUUGGGAA